Molecule: ribosomal RNA, 516 nt
Filed under: uncultured Glomus
Lineage: Eukaryota; Fungi; Glomeromycota; Glomeromycetes; Glomerales; Glomeraceae
Description: SSU rRNA
Rfam family: Eukaryotic small subunit ribosomal RNA
Source: RNAcentral
AGCAGCCGCGGUAAUUCCAGCUCCAAUAGCGUAUAUUAAAGUUGUUGCAGUUAAAAAGCUCGUAGUUGAAUUUCGGGAUCAGUUCGCUGGUCGUGCCUCUGGUAUGUACUGGUGUUACUGGUUCCUCCCUUCUGAAGAACUGUCAUGUCAUUAAUUUGGUGUGGCGGGGAAUCAGGACUGUUACUUUGAAAAAUUAGAGUGUUUAAAGCAGGCUCGCGCUUGAAUACAUUAGCAUGGAAUAAUGAAAUAGGACGUUCGAUCCUAUUUUGUUGGUUUCUAGGAUUGACGUAAUGAUUAAUAGGGAUAGUUGGGGGCAUUAGUAUUCAAUUGUCAGAGGUGAAAUUCUUGGGUUUAUUGAAGACUAACUACUGCGAAAGCAUUUGCCAAGGAUGUUUUCAUUAAUCAAGAACGAAAGUUAGGGGAUCGAAGACGAUCAGAUACCGUCGUAGUCUUAACCAUAACUAUGCCGACUAGGGAUCGGAUGAUGUUAAUUUUUAAUGACUCAUUCGGCGUCCG